GAACUUGCCCAUCACAGUGAAAGUAGAUGUGUAUAGCUUUGGUGUGUUACUGCUAGAGAUUAUUUGUUGUCGAAAAGGUGUAGAUAACAAAAUAGGCCGACCAGAUGAAGCAAUUUUAACUGAAUGGGCUUAUGAAUGCUACUCUGAAAAGAAGCUUGAGGCUUUAGUUGCAUGUGAUAAGGAUACCUUUGAAGACCGAGGGAAACUGGAGAGAUAUGUGAGGAUUGCCAUUUGGUGCUCCUGGUGUACAUAAUAAUUAGCCAUAUCUCCAAGAAGAUCCAUCUUUAAGGCCUACCAUGAGGAAGGUCUCGCAGAUGCUUGAAGGAGUUAGCGAAGUACCUGCCCCACCAUGUCCUUGGCCAAUUCAGGUAACAUAACUAGUUGAAACCUGUUCUUGUUGCUUCCCAAUCAUUCACUAUUAGUCAUUACUAGUAUCUGUUACGUUCACCGAUUUCCUCAAAAGAGAGUAAUUGAUAACUAUGUUUGCUAUUCACUUUCAAUGUUUCCAGGAUAUCUUGUACACAGAUGUAAGUAUUUUGUAAGUUUCAGGUGUCAGUAAGUUCUGUUUUACACCUAAGCUUCAGGUGAAAAUUAACAUGAAAUUUCUGCUAAAAUAAUUCAUGUACGUAGAUUUU
RNAcentral lists this unclassified non-coding RNA (635 nucleotides) under Hevea brasiliensis (rubber tree). The record is from RNAcentral. Lineage: Eukaryota; Viridiplantae; Streptophyta; Magnoliopsida; Malpighiales; Euphorbiaceae.